AUUGAACGCUGGCGGCAUGCCUUACACAUGCAAGUUGAACGGCAGCGGGGGAGAAGCUUGCUUUUCCUGCCGGCGAGUGGCGAACGGGUGAGUAAUACAUCGGAACGUGCCCUGUAGUGGGGGAUAACUAGUCGAAAGAUUAGCUAAUACCGCAUACGACCUGAGGGUGAAAGUGGGGGACCGCAAGGCCUCAUGCUAUAGGAGCGGCCGAUGUCUGAUUAGCUAGUUGGUGGGGUAAAGGCCUACCAAGGCGACGAUCAGUAGCUGGUCUGAGAGGACGAUCAGACACACUGGGACUGAGACACGGCCCAGACUCCUACGGGAGGCAGCAGUGGGGAAUUUUGGACAAUGGGCGAAAGCCUGAUCCAGCAAUGCCGCGUGUGUGAAGAAGGCCUUCGGGUUGUAAAGCACUUUUGUCCGGAAAGAAAUGGCUCUGGUUAAUACCUGGGGUCGAUGACGGUACCGGAAGAAUAAGGACCGGCUAACUACGUGCCAGCAGCCGCAGUAA
Molecule: ribosomal RNA, 508 nt
Filed under: uncultured bacterium
Lineage: Bacteria
Description: partial 16S ribosomal RNA
Rfam family: Bacterial small subunit ribosomal RNA
Source: RNAcentral